Molecule: non-coding RNA, 74 nt
Organism: Schistocerca cancellata (South American locust)
Lineage: Eukaryota; Metazoa; Arthropoda; Insecta; Orthoptera; Acrididae
Source: the annotation of a RefSeq genome assembly
UCCUCGAUGGCUCAGUCGGCUAGAGCGUCUGCCAUGCAAGCAGAAGAUCCCGGGUUCGAGUCCCACUCGGGGCA